RNAcentral lists this ribosomal RNA (561 nucleotides) under Bacillus sp. BAS105i. RNAcentral's name for it is "bacterial SSU rRNA". It matches the Rfam family "Bacterial small subunit ribosomal RNA", at positions 39 to 581 of the family's 1533-position model. The record is from RNAcentral. Lineage: Bacteria; Bacillati; Bacillota; Bacilli; Caryophanales; Bacillaceae.
GCGGCGUGCCUAAUACAUGCAAGUCGAGCGCAAUGAUGAGGAGCUUGCUCCUCUGAUUUAGCGGCGGACGGGUGAGUAACACGUGGGUAAUCUGCCUGUAAGACGGGGAUAACUCCGGGAAACCGGGGCUAAUACCGGAUAAUAAGAGAAGAAGCAUUUCUUCUUUUUGAAAGUCGGUUUCGGCUGACACUUACAGAUGAGCCCGCGGCGCAUUAGCUAGUUGGUGAGGUAACGGCUCACCAAGGCGACGAUGCGUAGCCGACCUGAGAGGGUGAUCGGCCACACUGGGACUGAGACACGGCCCAGACUCCUACGGGAGGCAGCAGUAGGGAAUCUUCGGCAAUGGGCGAAAGCCUGACCGAGCAACGCCGCGUGAGCGAUGAAGGCCUUCGGGUCGUAAAGCUCUGUUGUUAGAGAAGAACAAGUACGAGAGUAACUGCUCGUACCUUGACGGUACCUAACCAGAAAGCCACGGCUAACUACGUGCCAGCAGCCGCGGUAAUACGUACGUGGCAAGCGUUAUCCGGGAAUUAUUGGGCGUAAAGCGCGCGCAGGCGGUCU